RNAcentral lists this ribosomal RNA (433 nucleotides) under uncultured bacterium. Its description in RNAcentral is "partial 16S ribosomal RNA". It matches the Rfam family "Bacterial small subunit ribosomal RNA", at positions 29 to 507 of the family's 1533-position model. The record is from RNAcentral.
AACGAACGCUGGCGGCAUGCCUAACACAUGCAAGUCGAACGAGACCUUCGUGUCUAGUGGCGCACGGGUGCGUAACGCGUGGGAACCUGCCCUUAGGCUCGGAAUAACUCCCCGACAGGGGUGCUAAUACCGGAAAAUUUCUUCUGACCCAAGAUUUAUCGCCUUUGGAUGGGCCCGAGUUGUAUUAGCCUGUUGGUAGGGUAAAAGCCUACCAAGGCUACGAUCCAUAGCUGGUCAGAGAGGAUGAUCAGCCACACUGGGAGUGGGAAACGGCCCAGACUCCUACGGGAGGCAGCAGAGGCUAAUAUUGGACUAUGGGCGAAAGGCUGAAGCAGCAAGGCCGCGUGAGUGAUGAAGUCCGUAGAGUUGUAAAGCUCUUUUAUCCGGGAUGAUAAUGACAGUACCGGGAGAAUAAGCUCCGGCUAACUCCGUG